AUUCAGAGCCCCAGCCUGUUCAUAAAAAAAAUCAGAUGAAUUUUGUCUGCGGAACAUUCUGCAAAAAUAUCUGACCAGUAAGUAAUCCUCUAAAUAGCCACAGCCAUCAACAGCAAGGAAAGUCUGAGAAAGUGUCACAGCCAAGAGGACCCUAUAAAGACAUGAUGACUAAAUGUAACAUGGUGUCUUCCAUGGGAUCCUGAAACAGAAAAAGGACAUUAGGAAAAGAAGGAUAAAACUAUCUGAAGCCCUGUUAAAAGUCUGAGUCAUUUCUGCUCUAUUUCUUUCCCUACGAAUGGUAAGAGCUGGGGAUUGUGGUAUGUGCCUUUAGUCCUAGCUACUCCGGAGGCUGAGGCAGGAGGAUCACUUGAGCCCAGGACUUUGAGGCCGCUGUAAGCUAUGAUCAUGCCACUGCACUCCAGCUCAGGCAACAGUGAGACCCGGUCUCAACAAACAAAAGAAAAUAAAAGAAUGGUAGACAAGGAAAGCAGUUGAACAGCUAUGUGAGAAGCCUACUUUCUCUUCAUGUAACACGUUGGCCUAAGAGAUCUAUAGAGCUUUUUAAAAACAAAGAAGGCAGCAAGAUUUAAAAUAAUAAAACCAGCAAUAGGUAUUUUUAAAAGUGAGAGAAACUAUCAGAGAGCUGUAGCAGAAAAGCAAGUUAAAAAUAAAGGAAACAGAAAAGGAACUGAUACAGCUGAUUUGAUACUAGAAAAAUCACCCAGGAGGCGGCGUGGAGAAUGGAUUGGAGAAG
RNAcentral lists this non-coding RNA (754 nucleotides) under Pan troglodytes (chimpanzee). The record is from RNAcentral. Lineage: Eukaryota; Metazoa; Chordata; Mammalia; Primates; Hominidae.